GUUUUAAUCUGAAAAUUCCAGAAAUACGCCACGUGUCACUUAUCUACAGGUUACAUUUUUUUUUCUUUCUCUCUCUUUCGAUUCCAACAAACCGAUGAAAACAAAACGAUCGAGAACAGCGACGACAAAUCCUUUCGGAAAGCUUGAUCCUUUACCGAUAGGAGGAGACGUCCGACGGCGGUUGCAGUCUAGGCCUUAUUUUCGUACACCUCCGUUCUUCGUGAAAGCAAAAAAGGAAACAGGUGUCUCUGGUUUCUGCUCUUUCUCGUCUUCUUCUUCGACCGUCUCUACUGCUGGAUUCAUCGGUUGGUAUUUGGAUAUGGUGAAAUCCCGGCCAGUUCUUACCAAAUCCGUCACUUCUUCGCUUAUUUACAUCGCCGCCGACUUGUCUUCUCAAGUCAUUUCAUAACUUCUUUUUUUUUGUUCCAAAAAUCAGAAGCCAUAGUUUACUUAUUGAUUUUUGUAUGUUAUGUGUUGAUGUUCUUCAAGUUAAAGACUUAAUUUUGAUCUUGGUUGAUUCAGUUUUAAUAUUUCACUAUGUGCUUUAGCAAUUUGAGAAUUGGAAUUGAGUUGUCAGAUUUUGUUUGCGUUUAUUUGUGCGUUGUUGAUAUAUGUGACUUAGAGCUGGUGUUUGUGUUUGAUAUAACAAAGGAUUAGUUUUGGGGAAAAAAUUCAAACUUGUUUUGUUGUUUGUAGUAGCAAUGGAUGUUCUUCGUUUGGGAGUCUGCUUCUCGGUGCCACCAUCGCUGCUUCUCAGAGAAGUUUCGCUCAAUGUUCUGGAACAUGGUGGCAAAGAACAUGAUGAACUUUUGAACUUUCAUAAUCACCAUGUUCUGUUUCUCUUCUAUCUAACGACAGUUUCGCUCGAACAAAUAUUAUGUGGCGAAUUUAUCUCGUGACUAUCGUACUUACCAAGAAGUCAUUUGAACGGUCUUCAAAAAAACGAAAGAGAACUACGGUCACUAAAGAAGCGGAUGGAGAAGUAUGAAUCAGCUAAAGAGGCUGUUUCAGAUCCUUUCUUCUCAGAUAUGUUGAUGGACCAAACAUCAUGAAGAAUAUAAUAAACCCCAUAAGUGAUUAUCCCGAAGCUCCCUCUCUCUUUCAUGUGUAUAUUGUUUGCCUAGCCACUUAAAUCAACAGUAUUAGCUCUUGCUUCAUGAUAUGAUCUAUAUACCAAUCUCAAUCUCUUCAAAUGUAUGCAAGAACUGAUAUGUUAAUUAUUUUUUGUAUGUGACAAUAGUUUAAUGGUAGCUUUUGCCUAUGCAUGCAUAUACUUUUGAAACCA
Molecule: non-coding RNA, 1285 nt
Organism: Camelina sativa (false flax)
Lineage: Eukaryota; Viridiplantae; Streptophyta; Magnoliopsida; Brassicales; Brassicaceae
Source: RefSeq, a predicted model, not a curated record